RNAcentral lists this transfer RNA (62 nucleotides) under Enkianthus perulatus. RNAcentral's name for it is "tRNA-Leu". Lineage: Eukaryota; Viridiplantae; Streptophyta; Magnoliopsida; Ericales; Ericaceae. The record is from RNAcentral.
GUGAAAUCGGUAGACACGCUGCUCAGUGCUAGAGCAUCUCGGUUCGAGUCCGAGUAGCGGCA